UACGAAGGGGGCUAGCGUUGCUCGGAAUGACUGGGCGUAAAGGGCGCGUAGGCGGCGUGCUUUGUCGGGCGUGAAAUUCCAGGGCUCAACCUUGGGGCUGCGUUCGAGACGGGCAUUCUAGAGUUCGGAAGAGGGUCGUGGAAUUCCCAGUGUAGAGGUGAAAUUCGUAGAUAUUGGGAAGAACACCGGUGGCGAAGGCGGCGACCUGGUCCGAGACUGACGCUGAGGCGCGAAAGCGUGGGGAGCGAACAGG
This 253-nucleotide ribosomal RNA is filed under the name uncultured bacterium. RNAcentral's name for it is "partial 16S ribosomal RNA". It matches the Rfam family "Bacterial small subunit ribosomal RNA", at positions 524 to 776 of the family's 1533-position model. The record is from RNAcentral.